AGAGUUUGAUCCUGGCUCAGAUUGAACGCUGGCGGCAUGCCUUACACGUGCAAGUCGAACGGCAGCACGGGGCAACCUGGUGGCGAGUGGCGAACGGGUGAGUAAUGCAUCGGAACGUGCCAUUGAGUGGGGGAUAACGUAGCGAAAGUUGCGCUAAUACCGCAUAUUCUGUGAGCAGGAAAGCAGGGGACCGCAAGGCCUUGCGCUCUUUGAGCGGCCGAUGUCAGAUUAGCUAGUUGGUGAGGUAACGGCUUACCAAGGCGACGAUCUGUAGCGGGUCUGAGAGGAUGAUCCGCCACACUGGAACUGAGACACGGUCCAGACUCCUACGGGAGGCAGCAGUGGGGAAUUUUGGACAAUGGGGGCAACCCUGAUCCAGCCAUGCCGCGUGAGUGAAGAAGGCCUUCGGGUUGUAAAGCUCUUUCGGCCGGGAAGAAAUCGCAUGGGCCAAUACCCUGUGUGGAUGACGGUACCGGAAUAAGAAGCACCGGCUAACUACGUGCCAGCAGCCGCGGUAAUACGUAGGGUGCGAGCGUUAAUCGGAAUUACUGGGCGUAAAGCGUGCGCAGGCGGUUUUGUAAGACAGGCGCGAAAUCCCCGGGCUCAACCUGGGAACUGCGUUUGUGACUGCAAGGCUAGAGUACGGCAGAGGGGGGUGGAAUUCCACGUGUAGCAGUGAAAUGCGUAGAGAUGUGGAGGAACACCAAUGGCGAAGGCAGCCCCCUGGGUCGAUACUGACGCUCAUGCACGAAAGCGUGGGUAGCAAACAGGAUUAGAUACCCUGGUAGUCCACGCCCUAAACUAUGUCAACUAGGUGUUGGGUGGGUAAAACCACUUAGUACCGUAGCUAACGCGUGAAGUUGACCGCCUGGGGAGUACGGCCGCAAGGUUAAAACUCAAAGGAAUUGACGGGGACCCGCACAAGCGGUGGAUGAUGUGGAUUAAUUCGAUGCAACGCGAAAAACCUUACCUACCCUUGACAUGCCAGGAACUUGCCAGAGAUGGCUUGGUGCCCGAAAGGGAGCCUGAACACAGGUGCUGCAUGGCUGUCGUCAGCUCGUGUCGUGAGAUGUUGGGUUAAGUCCCGCAACGAGCGCAACCCUUGUCGCUAAUUGCCAUCAUUAGUUGGGCACUUUAGCGAGACUGCCGGUGACAAACCGGAGGAAGGUGGGGAUGACGUCAAGUCCUCAUGGCCCUUAUGGGUAGGGCUUCACACGUCAUACAAUGGUCGGUACAAAGGGUCGCCAAGCCGCGAGGUGGAGCCAAUCCCAGAAAGCCGAUCGUAGUCCGGAUUGCAGGCUGCAACUCGCCUGCAUGAAGUCGGAAUCGCUAGUAAUCGUGGAUCAGCAUGUCACGGUGAAUACGUUCCCGGGUCUUGUACACACCGCCCGUCACACG
RNAcentral lists this ribosomal RNA (1398 nucleotides) under metagenome. RNAcentral describes it as "bacterial SSU rRNA". It matches the Rfam family "Bacterial small subunit ribosomal RNA". The record is from RNAcentral.